Molecule: small nucleolar RNA, 105 nt
Filed under: Erythranthe guttata (spotted monkey flower)
Lineage: Eukaryota; Viridiplantae; Streptophyta; Magnoliopsida; Lamiales; Phrymaceae
Description: Mimulus guttatus (spotted monkey flower) Plant small nucleolar RNA R71
Rfam family: Plant small nucleolar RNA R71
About the family: R71 is a member of the C/D box family of snoRNAs containing the C (UGAUGA) and D (CUGA) box motifs.
Source: Rfam by way of RNAcentral
AGUCCGUGAUUGGGGCAUCUCCGGAUAAGUUGUUUAAACCGCUCCCAAGUUUCGAAGAGUGCUUCGUCGGCUUCUUGCAGAAAAUUUUAGAUCUCUCUCCGGAUU